RNAcentral lists this ribosomal RNA (253 nucleotides) under uncultured bacterium. Its description in RNAcentral is "partial 16S ribosomal RNA". It matches the Rfam family "Bacterial small subunit ribosomal RNA", at positions 524 to 776 of the family's 1533-position model. The record is from RNAcentral.
UACGUAGGGUGCAAGCGUUAUCCGGAAUCACUGGGCGUAAAGCGUGCGUAGGUGGCGUGUUAAGUGUGAUGUUAAAUCGUGUGGCUCAACCAUAUCGAUGUGUCGCAUACUGGCAUGCUAGAGGGAAGCAGAGGCAAGUGGAAUUGGUAGUGUAGCAGUGAAAUGCGUAGAUAUUACCAGGAACACCAAUGGCGAAGGCAGCUUGCUGGGCUUCUUCUGACACUGAGGUACGAAAGCGUGGGGAGCGAACAGG